Molecule: long non-coding RNA, 2736 nt
Organism: Lucilia sericata (common green bottle fly)
Lineage: Eukaryota; Metazoa; Arthropoda; Insecta; Diptera; Calliphoridae
Exons: 7
Source: RefSeq, a predicted model, not a curated record
AACCUUGGUUUCCCAGUCCCAACUGUGCAGACGAAAAAGUGUUCGCUCUGGCUGAUGCUCCGCACCUCUUAAAAUUAAUCCGGAACCAUUACCUGGACAGUGGCUUAGUUGUGGGAGACGAACAUUUAACCUCCCGAACUUUUACAGAUUUACUUAGCCUGACAUCAACAUCUGAUAUGUCAAUAACUUAUAGAAUUAGCCAUGAACAUCUGGCAGUGAAAGGUAGACAAAAGGUGAAAUUAGCAACACAGCUUUUUUCGCACACAACAGCGAAUGCUAUUAGAAGAUGCUACGCCCCUUGGACCCAGACGGCUGAUUUCAUCCAAGAGGUGAACGAUUGGUUUGACGUACUAAACUCUAGAAUAAGUACAUUUAAAUACCCUGGCAAGGAACCAUAUGGACUUGACUUAUAACGUCAAAGAGAAAAACUGACAAAAAUGAACGAGCUGAUGUCGUCACCAAUCAUUCCGGGUCGGAAAACUCUGGAGCCCUUCCAAAAAGGCAUUAUAAUGACGAAUAAUGCCGUGAUGAUGCUCCAAGAUUAUGUCAAAAUGUAUGACAUGGAGUACAUCGUCACAAAUCGGCUAAAUCAAGACGUUCUCGAGCAUUUCUUUGUCGCCAUUAGAAGUAAAGGGGGUUUAAAUGACCACCCUUCGCCAAUGGAUUUCAAAUAUAGAAUGCGAAAGUAUAUCCUGGCAAGAAACACCGAACACCUAAAUGGGACAGGUAAUGUUGAAGCUGAUGAUACCAAUUGGCUGGAUUCUUCCAUGGAGUUAAAAGCUUCAAAAGUGGUUGAAGAGAUUCCUGCAGCCCCGGAAGAUAUUUUUGAAGAGCUACCUGUAGACCCGGAAGAAGAAGUAGACCUCGACGAUUUCGAUGAAUCGAUUCUUAAUGACAUUGGUAUUCUUCAAGAAAACGCAUUAGAAUACGUAAGUGGCUACCUUAUAAGAAAAUUAAAUCUUGUAGGAUACCAGAGUCAUCUAGAAUCGUUAACUUGAUCAACCAAGUGUCGAAGGGCUCCUUGAAAAAGCCAAAUAAAAAAACUAGAAAUUGUGUUCGAAAAAGUCAACGGAAAUGAAAUCUCCCACCAACCAAGGCUAAAUCAGCAUCUUCUUGAACAAAGCGUUCUUGUUAAUCUUCCAGACAAUGUAAAAAGAUUAUUCUUCAAAUGCCGAAUACAUUUUCGCGUGAGAAAUCUGAAAAAAAGAUUAAAUAUUCAAAAAGAAAAGCAGCGCACAGUGGGGUCCAAAAAUUUCUUAAAAUUAAAUUAUAAGAAUUUAUCUUUUUGAAUAUAUUUCGAACUAUCAUAUUGCAGCACAUUUUAACACGACACUGCAGUUAACGCAUAUUUUAAAAGCUUUGUUUUAAACUUUUGGAGUUUUGCUAGAACACUCCCGGAAACCUGAGGACGAUCACUCAGAUUGACACUACACCAAACUAGAGGCAAAUAAAUGAAAAAGGAGAGUAUUUUCAAUAUAUAUAUAUUAGGCUUCACGCGAUAUUUUUGAAAUUGUGAUAUCAUACCUUCUAUGAAAGUUUUUGGAUCAGUGACAAUAUUGGCGUAAUUAUUAUGUUAAAAUUCCAACUCCUUCAUUUGCAUAUCUGCGGCCAAAACACCGAUUUUGGGCGACGUUUUUUGAUAGAGCAAAAACUGCUGAAUAUAUUUCAAAUCUAACUUUAGUAUACAAUCUACAGGAAAAUUUAAGAUGUAUGAACUAAAUUUGACAGAAUUUGGAUGCACUAAAAAUGCAUAAGAGCAAUAGAAAAAAAUGCAAUUUUUUCAAAAAGAAAUUUCAAAACUUGAUUUUAUCAAUCGUAAAUAUAAUAUUCAAUGCCCUUAAAAAAUAGUGUUAAAAAAUUAUAUUCAUUGAAUCGGUUUAGAAGUUAUGAUGUUAAUAAUGUUAAUUUGUGGGUUAAUAAUUUCCCAUCUAACAAUGGUUUCUUCAUCAUCACCUCCAAAUUUAAUAUAAUUCCACCAAAUUAAUGUUCCAUAUAUAACUUGUACAAUGACAAAUUUUGGGACUUAUAACUUUCGUAGUAUCAUCACAUCUAAAGGGUUAGUGAUAGAAUUUUUGUUUUUGCACCAUUUUUCUAAGCAAAAAGCAUACUUAAAUUAUGCGCAAAGAAAAAAAUAUUUUUAAUUUUUUUUGAAAAAAGUGCAUCUUUGGAUGAUCCUAUAUGCACUUUUGGAGCGUUAUUAAAGUGUGAAAUUAAGCUCAUUCUUCUUCAUUUUUCCUAUAAAAUCAAUGAUUAAAGCAUGAUUUCCAAUCUAUUCUGCAGUUUCUGCUCUGGAAAAAAUGUCGCUCAAAAUCAAUGGUUUCAGCCACAGAUAUGCAGAUGAAGGAGUUGGAAAAUUAUUACAGCAUUGUGAUCACUGAUACAAAAACCUUCUAAAAAGGUAUGAUAUCACAAAAUCGAGAAACAUUUUGUUUUUUGAAACAAAGCCUAAUAUAUAUAUAUAUAUAUAUAUAUAUAUAAAAUCAAUGAUUAAAGCAUGAUUUCCAAUCUAUUCUGCAGUUUCUGCUCUGGAAAAAUGUCGCUCAAAAUCAAUGGUUUCAGCCACAGAUAUGCAGAUGAAGGAGUUGGAAAAUUAUUACAGCAUUGUGAUCACUGAUACAAAAACCUUCUAAAAAGAUUUUCUAACUUGUCGACCUACAUACAUACAUAUGGGAAUGGCGAAUGUAUUUACAUCAAUCAACAAACGAGAGACAAAAGCAAAUUGCUGUUAAGUAUUUA